AUCCAGUACAAUUCACAGGGAGAAUUAAUUAGUGCAUAUCAAAUGUGAGCUUGACAGGGCUAUGAUUUAAAUACAAAGAUGCCUGAAGAAUUAUGAGUCAAUAUUUGAGCUCCAUGCUAGUCUGAUGCUAUUGUAUCCACCUGAACAAAUACGGCCUAGCAUCCUACCUUCUUUGCAGCUGUUUGAGUCUCUCCCUACAGGGUGGUAGGUCUGAAGGGGCCUUUUCAGUGGGGGAAGAGGGUAGGGAAGGAUUCUACACAGGGCUCAGCAAGCUGGAAGACAGCUGGAGGGAACAAGCUUCUCUCCUUCACGCUUCUCUCUGCUGCCAGGAAACAGCAGUUCCACGAGUAGAACAGAAGCACCCAGUCAGCUGGAUGUCCAUAUGGAGACUUUUACCCAGGAUCUGACACAUUAACUGUGGGACAUCUGGGGGCUGGUCUCUGCAAACUAUAUUUUUAAGAAUUCCUUACCAACUGGCUUUCAGCUGGACUCAGCCAACAAGAGGAAGACGCUGGAAAUUGGAGGCAGGAAGAAGUGGCUCCCUCCUCCCAGGACUCCAGCUUUCAUCUGAUGCCUUCUACCUCUGUGAUCCAACCUCCUUCCAAGCAGCCUCCAUCCUGGGUUCCAGUUCCAGCUGGAAGGUCCCUGAUCCUGGGCUCUGGGAGCACCAUCUCCUCCUCCCUUCCUCAGCCCAGCCAUAGAGCUGCUUCCUGCUGUUGCUAAUCUUUGGGGAAUCUCUGGGGUGCCUCAGUUGACCCCACUUGGUUUUUCAGUACUUCCAACAUGUUUAUCACCAGUUCAAGGGAUUGAAUUCCACCUACUGAUGGUCCUUCCCAGACCCUGACUGAUACAAGUUUAAUAUGGAGAUGAACAGAACAGGAUUAAAGUGAGAGGUGAAGCUUUAUUGAUCCAAGUGGAAGUAAAAACCUGGCUGUGAGAGAAGAGAUGGUAUCACCCUCUGAGGCUCCCAUGGUUGCAGCAGACUUCAGAUAUGGACUCUGCCACUCGGCCACCCCACCCUGCUCCACCCCUCCCUCUGGAGGUGGCAGGCCUAUUUGGCUAAGGAAAUCUACUCCUUCACGUGUCUCCAGGGGACAAUGUAUUCAGCUUCGUAAUUACGUGCUUCUCCCCAAUCACGUAGCAUUAUACACCACAUCACCACACUGCUGAAAAAAGCCCCAAAUGCUAAUUAGUCCUCAAAUUAUCAUUGAUUUGAUUUGAUGUUGAACAAGCUUUGCCAUUUAUAUUUAGGCAAGAACUUCAGAUUCAAGAUGCUCUCUUUCAGAUUGCGAUUUUUAAAUAACUCAGUGGGGCCUGUCUUGCUUGUUCAGUGUGUUUAUGUCAAGAAAUCAGACUGGCUGCUCUCCCUGGCUGCAGAUGAAUGCCAGGUUGAUUGAGUGCAGGAGAGGAAUUAUCCUCUCGGCCAGAGCUCAAAGCCUGGGACCCCCUGAAUGCAGAAACCCCCAUCGUGCAGGAGGACUUGAGGAGGAGAAAGAUGAAGGAAGGAGUGGAAGAAGACGGUCUGGAAUUGCAAACAGAUUCCACCUGAAGAUGGAGAAACUGUGUUAUUGAGUCACAUUCAGCAAAUGCUUCUUAGUCCUUUCUGAGAGCCAGGCUCUUUCACAGGCAUCAUCUCCUUUAAUUCUGACAGCAACCCAGUGAUAACACAGCAUUGUUAGUUGUGGAAACCAAGGCCCAGAAACUUGAGGUAAUGUCACUGUUCACAGCAGUGAGGGAGAGAAGCUGAAGUUUAUAUACAGGUCCUCUGACCAGGUCCCCUGAAAGGUGAUUUCAUGCCUUCUCCUUGGUCACUUAUUGUCUUCUGGGUCCGCACUUCCCUGCAGCCCACCUUCCAAACCCCUCAGCCCCUAUCCCCA
Molecule: long non-coding RNA, 1877 nt
Filed under: Homo sapiens (human)
Lineage: Eukaryota; Metazoa; Chordata; Mammalia; Primates; Hominidae
Description: HSALNT0007463
Source: RNAcentral